GACGAACGCUGGCGGCGUGCUUAACACAUGCAAGUCGAACGGAAAGGCCCUGCUUUUGUGGGGUGCUCGAGUGGCGAACGGGUGAGUAACACGUGAGUAACCUGCCCUUGACUUUGGGAUAACUUCAGGAAACUGGGGCUAAUACCGGAUAGGAGCUCCUGCUGCAUGGUGGGGGUUGGAAAGUUUCGGCGGUUGGGGAUGGACUCGCGGCUUAUCAGCUUGUUGGUGGGGUAGUGGCUUACCAAGGCUUUGACGGGUAGCCGGCCUGAGAGGGUGACCGGCCACAUUGGGACUGAGAUACGGCCCAGACUCCUACGGGAGGCAGCAGUGGGGAAUAUUGCACAAUGGGCGGAAGCCUGAUGCAGCAACGCCGCGUGCGGGAUGACGGCCUUCGGGUGGUAAACCGCUUUCGCCUGUGACGAAGCGUGAGUGACGGUAAUGGGUAAAGAAGCACCGGCUGACUACGUG
This 468-nucleotide ribosomal RNA is filed under the name uncultured bacterium. Its description in RNAcentral is "partial 16S ribosomal RNA". It matches the Rfam family "Bacterial small subunit ribosomal RNA", at positions 28 to 507 of the family's 1533-position model. The record is from RNAcentral.